CUUUCUUGCCUUGGUUUUCGAAGAAUGUGGCCUGGAGGGCUGGUGGGCGGCGUGGCACGGCGCGGCGCAUGCGCGUUCUGGUCUGUUUUUCCCCGAGUUAGAGCGCGCGGGUGCGAGCCGGGAGGUGCGGCUGGGUUUGUUUCGCCGAGGGUCUCAGGAGAAGGAUAGAUGUAAGGCCUUGCUGCCCUGUUGCUUUAUUUCCCACCAUACCAUCACCCCAGCAUGAUUUGUCUCUUCCAGAAUCGAAGCUGUAAAACUACAAAUAGUUCUUCAAAUGGAGCCCCAGAUGCAGUCCAUGACUAAGAUCUACCGCAGACCCCUGGACCUGCCUGCUAGCCCAUGCCCUGAUGUUAAUGACAUCGAAGGCACCCCUCCUGAGGAAAUCUCAACCGCACGACCCCUACUAUGCCCAAUUCAGCACGAAACAGAGCGAUUGUCAGCCAACCUCCCCAACAGCACUUCGGUUUUCCUGUUGAGAAGGGGACUGAGAGACAGGACUAGCUGGAUUUCCUAGGCCGACUAAGAAUCCCUAAGCCUAGCUGGAAGGUGACCGCAUCCACCUUUAAACACGGGGCUUGCAACUUAGCUCACAUCUAACCAAUCAGGUAGUAAAGAGAGCUCACUAAAAUGCUAAUUAGGCUAAAACAGGAGGUAAAGAAAUAGCCAAUCAUCUAUCGCACAGGGGGAGGGACAAUGAUCGGGAUAUAAACCCAGGUAUUCAAGCUGGCAAUGGCAACCCCCUUUGGGUCCCCUCCCAUUUUAUGGGAGCUCUGUUUUCACUCUAUUAAAUCUUGCAACUGCAAAAACAAACAAAAAACCAAACAAAAAACACAAAAAACAAA
Long non-coding RNA from Pongo pygmaeus (Bornean orangutan), 842 nucleotides. RefSeq lists it as uncharacterized. NCBI's taxonomy places the organism in Eukaryota, Metazoa, Chordata, Mammalia, Primates, Hominidae. The record is from RefSeq and is a predicted model, not a curated record. The transcript has 3 exons.